Molecule: ribosomal RNA, 466 nt
Filed under: uncultured bacterium
Lineage: Bacteria
Description: partial 16S ribosomal RNA
Rfam family: Bacterial small subunit ribosomal RNA
Source: RNAcentral
GACGAACGCUGGCGGCGCGCCUAACACAUGCAAGUCGAACGAGCGAGCGAGAGCUUGCUUUCGUGAUCGAGUGGCGAACGGGUGAGUAACGCGUGAGGAACCUGCCUCAGAGAGGGGGAUAACAGCUGGAAACGACUGCUAAUACCGCAUAAGCGCACGGUGUCGCAUGGCACAGUGGGAAAAGGAGCAAUCCGCGGUGAGAUGGCCUCGCGUCCGAUUAGCUAGUUGGUGAGGUAACGGCCCACCGAGGCGACGGUUGGUAGCCGGGCUGGGAGGUUGCACGGCCACAUUUGGACUGCGGCCCGGCCCCGACUCCUACGGGAGGCAGCAGUGGGGAAUAUUGCACAAUGGGGGAAACCCUGAUGCAGCGACGCCGCGUGGAGGAAGAAGGUCUUCGGAUUGUAAACUCCUGUUGUUGGGGAAGAUAAUGACGGUACCCAACAAGGAAGUGACGGCUAACUACGUG